AGUGAACGCUGGCGGUAUGCCUAACACAUGCAAGUCGAACGGCAGCACAGUAAGCGCUUGCUCUUACGGUUGGCGAGUGGCGGGCGGGUGAGGAAUACAUCGGCAUCUACUUUUUCGUGGGGGAUAACGUAGGGAAACUUACGCUAAUACCGCAUACUACCUACGGGUUAAAUCAGGAGAGCUUCGCACCUUUCGCGAUUGUAUUAGCCGAUGUCGGAUUAGCUAGUUGGCGAGGUAAGGGCCCACCAAGGCGACGAUCCGUAGCUGGUCUGAGAGGAUGAUCAGCCACACUGGAACUGAGACACGGUCCAGACUCCUACGGGAGGCAGCAGUGGGGAAUAUUGGACAAUGGGCGCAAGCCUGAUCCAGCCAUACCGCGUGGGUGAAGAAGGCCUUCGGGUUGUAAAGCCCUUUUGUUGGGAAAGAAAAGCAGCAGGUUAAUACCCCGCUGUUCUGACGGUACCCAAAGAAUAAGCACCGGCUAACUUCGUG
This 492-nucleotide ribosomal RNA is filed under the name uncultured bacterium. RNAcentral describes it as "partial 16S ribosomal RNA". It matches the Rfam family "Bacterial small subunit ribosomal RNA", at positions 29 to 507 of the family's 1533-position model. The record is from RNAcentral.